GCCACUGUGGCCUAGUGGUUUGAAUGCUCUACUAAGACUCUAGGGACCAGGAUUCGAAUCUCUGCUGGAGCA
This is a non-coding RNA of Phrynosoma platyrhinos (Desert horned lizard), 72 nucleotides long. Lineage: Eukaryota; Metazoa; Chordata; Lepidosauria; Squamata; Phrynosomatidae. The record is from the annotation of a GenBank genome assembly.